RNAcentral lists this long non-coding RNA (1448 nucleotides) under Heterocephalus glaber (naked mole-rat). RNAcentral's name for it is "lncRNA (ENSHGLG00000039144.1)". Lineage: Eukaryota; Metazoa; Chordata; Mammalia; Rodentia; Bathyergidae. The record is from RNAcentral.
GGUGGCCUGGACAUUCGACGGAAGGCAGCAGGCGUACUGCCGUGGAGCCGGGGCUGGCCUCAGAGGUGACUUUUCAUUCUCACUCCUGUCCUAGAAUCCGGGCCUGGGCAGCUGUAGGGAUGGAGGCGCUGGUUAUCAGGGCGGGAAGACCAAGAGCCCCGUUUUCCUCAGGGGGAGAAGGGUCGGGAGUUUGGACCUGCUGAGCCUGAACUAAAAGUGAAGCUAUCCGGGACACAGCCGGGACCCAGUGUGCUCUCCAGAGGGGCAGGGGAUCUGGCAGCAGGCGCAGAACAAGCUCUUGGGAGAAGUUCCGCCCAACGUCAGAGCGGGAACACGAGGGCACCCAGGGAGAAGUGUUGGAAAGCGGCCCUCCGAGAGCACGGGGCUGCACGUAAUGCCGUCUGCCUCGUCGUGACAGCAUGAAACCCUCACAAACGUGAUGCCCGAGCUUGGACUUCUCAGCCUCCGAAACGAGCCAAAGUGAUCUUAAUUCUUCUCAGUGGAGGCUACAGUGGAGUAAACGAGUUCUUGGUCCCUCAGGUAAAUGAGCUCUGACCCGCUGGCAAGUGUUCAGAGAAACAUUUGUGGAUUCACAGGAAGUUGAAAAGAUAAAGCAGAGUGGUUCUGUGGCCCUUCUCCAGCUUCCUCCAGAGGGGACCUCCCACGUGAUCGUAGCACAGUGCAAACCAGGAAGCCGGCGCUGACACAGGUAUCAGAGGUCUCUGAAAGAAAUACAAUUGGUAAACGACCGAGGUACUGGGAUAACCUCUCAGGAAUCGUUCCCCACCAGUCCUUUCCCUCCGGCGGUCUAUCAAGCUCACAGGGAAAGACUGAAAAAAGAGCAUCACCGAUGGCCCGGAUGUGAUUGCUUCCUGCACGGUACUGGGAUGUAGCCAACACUUACUGGUGGUCACAGGCACAGUGGGCAUCCACCUACCUCCGACUGCCCACCUCUGUCAACCCUCAGCUCCCGGGUGCUCUCCAGCACUUGGACAGCUCCUCCCCUCCGUGCGGGCUCUGCUCUGCUGCCAGAGGAAAUUUUCUUGUCCUGCCUGAGCUGGGAAGCGAGGAAGUGGCAGAGAUACACACACCUGAGCAAAGAGGAAUGAGCCCAAGAAUGCAUGUACCAGACUCCUGUUCUCAUCUAAAUUAUCAUGUCUAUAAUAAAUGUAUCAGUAGAGAAAAGCAUUGCAGAUACAUUUUACAGGUAGUUUGUUAAUUGUGGUACAAUGCACAUAAGCUAAAAUUUUCCAUUGUCACCGUUUCCAAGUGUAUGGAGCAGUGGCAUUGAAUACAGUCACUCUGUAAUUAAUCAUCAAGCCAUUCAACUCCAGAAUUCCAUCUUCCCAAGCUGAAACUCUGAACUCACAAACACUGACUCUACCCUACCCCAGCCCUGCCCCAGCAGUGACCACUCUACUUUAUUCCUGCGAGUGUUCUCCUCUAAG